CGCAGCCGCGGUAAUUCCAGCUCCAAUAGCGUAUAUUAAAGUUGUUGCAGUUAAAAAGCUCGUAGUUGAAUUUCGGGGUUAGUAGGUUGGUCAUGCCUCUGGUAUGUACUGGUCUCACUGAUUCCUCCUUCCUGAUGAACCUUAAUGCCAUUUAUUUGGUGUUUUGGGGAAUUUGGACUGUUACUUUGAAAAAAUUAGAGUGUUUAAAGCAAGCUAACGCUUGAAUACAUUAGCAUGGAAUAAUGAAAUAGGACGUUCGAUCCUAUUUUGUUGGUUUCUAGGAUUGACGUAAUGAUUAAUAGGGAUAGUUGGGGGCAUUAGUAUUCAAUUGUCAGAGGUGAAAUUCUUGGAUUUAUUGAAGACUAACUACUGCGAAAGCAUUUGCCAAGGAUGUUUUCAUUAAUCAAGAACGAAAGUUAGGGGAUCGAAGACGAUCAGAUACCGUCGUAG
RNAcentral lists this ribosomal RNA (450 nucleotides) under uncultured Glomus. RNAcentral's name for it is "SSU rRNA". It matches the Rfam family "Eukaryotic small subunit ribosomal RNA", at positions 569 to 1023 of the family's 1831-position model. Lineage: Eukaryota; Fungi; Glomeromycota; Glomeromycetes; Glomerales; Glomeraceae. The record is from RNAcentral.